RNAcentral lists this ribosomal RNA (463 nucleotides) under uncultured bacterium. RNAcentral describes it as "bacterial SSU rRNA". It matches the Rfam family "Bacterial small subunit ribosomal RNA", at positions 34 to 507 of the family's 1533-position model. The record is from RNAcentral.
CGCUAGCGGCAGGCCUAAUACAUGCAAGUCGAACGGUGUCUUCGGACAUAGUGGCGCACGGGUGCGUAACACGUAUGCAACCUACCUUACAUUGGGGGAUAGCCUUUCGAAAGGGAGAUUAAUACCGCAUAAGACAGUAGCUGGGCAUCCAGCAGCUGUUAAAGCAUUGCGGUAUAAGAUGGGCAUGCGUCCUAUUAGCUAGAUGGUGAGGUAACGGCUCACCAUGGCUACGAUAGGUAGGGGGCCUGAGAGGGUGGUCCCCCACACUGGUACUGAGACACGGACCAGACUCCUACGGGAGGCAGCAGUGAGGAAUAUUGGUCAAUGGGCGCAAGCCUGAACCAGCCAUGCCGCGUGCAGGAAGAAUGCCCUAUGGGUUGUAAACUGCUUUUAUUUGGGAAUAAACCUCUUUACGUGUAGAGAGCUGAAGGUACCAAAUGAAUAAGCACCGGCUAACUCCGUG